AUGAUUUUUAUUUUUUCCAUUAUACUUGGUUUACAGUGUUUGUUCUGUCAUUUUUAAUUCCCUGGCUAGUAUAUUGUGUUAUGCAUUAUCAGAUGCACUGUUUUUUUUUUUUUUUUCUUUUUCAGGCCACACAUGCGGCAACUGGAGGUUCCCAGGCUAGGAGUCAAAUUGGAGCUGCUGCUGCUGGCCUACACCGCAGUCACAGCAACACAAGAUCCAAGCUAUGUCUUCAACCUUCACCACAGCUCACAGCAUUGCCAGAUCCUUAACCCACUGAGCAAGGCCAGGGAUUGAACCCUCAUCCUCAUAGAUACUAUUUGGGUUCCUCACUGCUGAGCCACACUGGAAAAUCCCCAGAUGCACUUUUUUUGGCUUUUUUAGGGCCACACCCGCAGCAUAUGGAGGUUCCCAAGCAGGGGUUGAAUUGGAGCUAUAGCUGCUGGUCUACGCCACAGCAAUGCGGGGUCUGAGCCAUGUCUGUGACCUACACCAUAGCUCAGGCAAUGCCAGAUCCUUAGCCCACUGAGUGAGGGCAGGGAUUAAACCCACAGCCUCAUGGUUCCUAGUGAGAUUCUUUUCCACUGCACCUCAACAGGAAUUCCCCAAAACAGAGUAUUUUAAAGAGGACAGACAUCUUUAUUAAAUCAACUUAUUAAAAUUGAGUUUUCCUAGCUAGAAAUAUCUUAAAUCUCUCAAAGUUCAUAUGUUUUCAUAUAAAUACUUUGUUUCUUAAUAAAUGUAUUCCAAUACAUUUUAUACUUUUUAUAUAUGAAAUAUUUUCUUCUUCUUUUUUUUUUUUUUUUUUUUUUUGCUUUUUAGGGCCACACCCAUGGCAUAUGGACGUUCCCAGGCUAGGAGUCAAAUUGGAGGUGCAGCUGCCAGCCACAGCUACAGGCACAGCAAUGCCAGAUCCUAUAACCAAUUAACUGAGGCCAGGGAUUGAACCCAUAUCUUCAUGGAUACUAGUUGGGUUCAUAAUCCACUGAGCCACAAUGGAACUCCCAGUUAUAUUUUCUAAUUGGUUAUGAUUUGUGAUAGGGAAACUCCUGAUUUUUUACUUCUCAACAUUAAUAUUGCAAUAGCAAUCUUACUUAUUAUUUCUUAUUUUUUUCUGGUACAUUCUGUUAGUUUAUUCAUUUACCUUUUGAAGAUAAAGAAUUACGUUGUUAUCCAGUAAUGAGAACUGUGGUAACUUCUUUACAAUACUUAUCUACUCUGUUCUCUUGAACACUGGCUCACUGGCUCGGAUGGGAAUUAAUCUUAAAUUUCAAUUUUAGGCUUUGAGCUUUAAUUCACCCAAAGGAACCUUUUAUCAUAAUAUUAAUCUCCCCACCAAAGUGGUUGGUUCGAAGAUGAGUAAUACAGGCCCAAACGCAAUGCGGCAUGGCACAUCACCGGUCACAGUGAAUUUUUUUUUUUUUUUAGGGUUUGACAUGUGAUUAAAGAGUUUCAAGAUUUUCAGAAGAGAAGUUUUCUCAUUUUCUGGACUUUGAGGUAUAAACACAUGGGAGGCCUGGGCCUCUGUGGCCAUUUUGCUCCCAGGAGAGAAAAUAGUCUAACACACAAAGGAACACAGAACUGAGUGAACUGAGAGAAAUCAAGCAUCAAAACUGAAACAAACCAUGCUUGAAAACAAAACCUAUCCUGCAACAUUAUAAGAGCAAAUACAUCCUCCUCUAUUUUUGGAAACCAGUGCACAUUAUUUGCAACCCAAAUUAUCCUAACAGAUAUACCUUGCCCAAUGUCAUAGGCAAGAAACACGCCUAAAACAGAAUGAUAAAGAAAGUUUGAAAAUAAAGGAUGUGGAAAAUUACACCAGGCAAAUGUAAGCAAACAGAAAGCAGAAAUGGCAGAAUCACAAUCAGAUAAGCAGAAUUCAAGAUCAAGACUGUUAAGCAGGGAAAAGAGGCAAAUUGUGACAUCUUCAAGUAUAAUUAGUGAAUUCCUGUACACCAAAAACUACAGCAGCAAAAUAUAUAAAGCAAAGCUCUGACAAAGACAGGUGUAAUCAUUAUAAAAAUCAUAGCCACAGUGGGGAAUUUUGCAUGAGAAUUUGAUGCAUCAAGCAGAUACAAAUAAGCAAGGUUAUGGAGAUAUAAAUAAUAGCAAAAAAAAGACAACCUAAAACAGAAAUAACAUGUUCUCUCUCUUCUUGACCUAAGAAAAUAUUGAAUCUAAUGAACAACCUACCAUUAGAAAGAGUCUAGGCCGAGUUCAUGUUACUGCAGAGUUUAACCUGCAAAAUAACAAAUAAAAGUUCAGAUAAUACUCCACACUAUCUCAGCUGUCACUGUACAACUUAAGAGCUGAAUAUAUUUAGAAAAUUUUAACAGAUUCUCUAGUUUCUCACCUCUUGACAACAUAUUCUUUGGCUUUCUCAUCCAAACCCUAGAAACCAAAUAUGAACUAUGGUAACUCUAUCUGAACUUCUGCUGUCUGAAUUCAGGCAAAUACAUUUGAAUGUGAGGAAAUACAUGCAAUCCCUGUUUUAACUAUCUUAGUCAAAACGUUCUGGACUCCCAGAAGUUCCCUUGUGGUGCAGUGGGGUAAGGAUCCAGCACCACCCUAGCUAUGACACAGGUCACAGCUGCGGCAGGUGUUUGAUCCCUGGCCCGAGAGCUUCUUCAUGCCAUGGGAGUGCAGAAGAAAAAAAUGUUCUGGACUCCCUACAAUGACUGAAAACUACCAAGAUGGUCUGUUAAGCUAGCACAGGAAUGCCCAAUUUAAAAAUAUAAAAAAGCAAAGCAAAAAAAAAAAAAAAAUCUACUUAUGAAAGCAAAUGUUCUCAUAAAAUAUUAGCAUGUUAAAUACACCAAAUAAAAAGUAACAUAAUAUAAAAAGUAGAUGCAUGUCAGAAAAGAAUAAUUAUACUAUCAAUUCAAAGGAAAAAUAUCUGGAGUUCCCAUAGUGGCGCAGUGGAAGCGAAUCUGACUAGGAACCAUGAGCCACGACAGGAACUCCAUAUGAAACUUUUUAAAGAUGAGGAAUGAACCUGCGAGUGAUUUAAGUAUGUAUUAGAGUAGAAGUUUCUCCAACUGGAAGGGGGUUGCGGACAAGACUCUCCACUAAAUUUGGCUGCUUUAAACUUCCAUCCACCUUCUCUGAGUUGCCAUUCUUUCUAAAGUGGAGAGUAGAAGAAAGAAAAAAAAUAUACAACUAGUACUAAAAAUUACCCUGAGAAAGGAAUGUCUAAGCCACUCACCAAUGUCACCAUCACAACCCACCAUUGCUUUGGCAGCAGAGGCUUUGCUAAGAAGAACACAUUUUCUUUCGCAGGAAAAAAAAAAAAAAAAAAAAAA
This 3299-nucleotide long non-coding RNA is filed under the name Sus scrofa (pig). RNAcentral describes it as "lncRNA (ENSSSCG00000055499.1)". Lineage: Eukaryota; Metazoa; Chordata; Mammalia; Artiodactyla; Suidae. The record is from RNAcentral.